This 497-nucleotide ribosomal RNA is filed under the name uncultured bacterium. Its description in RNAcentral is "partial 16S ribosomal RNA". It matches the Rfam family "Bacterial small subunit ribosomal RNA", at positions 28 to 507 of the family's 1533-position model. The record is from RNAcentral.
GACGAACGCUGGCGGCGUGCCUAAUACAUGCAAGUUGAGCGAUGAAGAUUGGUGCUUGCACCAAUUUGAAGAGCAGCGAACGGGUGAGUAACGCGUGGGGAAUCUGCCUUUGAGCGGGGGACAACAUUUGGAAGCGAAUGCUAAUACCGCAUAACAACUUUAAACAUAAGUUUUAAGUUUGAAAGAUGCAAUUGCAUCACUCAAAGAUGAUCCCGCGUUGUAUUAGCUAGUUGGUGAGGUAAAGGCUCACCAAGGCGAUGAUACAUAGCCGACCUGAGAGGGUGAUCGGCCACAUUGGGACUGAGACACGGCCCAAACUCCUACGGGAGGCAGCAGUAGGGAAUCUUCGGCAAUGGACGAAAGUCUGACCGAGCAACGCCGCGUGAGUGAAGAAGGUUUUCGGAUCGUAAAACUCUGUUGGUAGAGAAGAACGUUGGUGAGAGUGGAAAGCUCAUCAAGUGACGGUAACUACCCAGAAGGGGACGGCUAACUACGUG